CGAGCGGUAAGGCCCUUCGGGGUACACGAGCGGCGAACGGGUGAGUUUCACGUGGGUGAUCUGCCUUGCACUUCGGGAUAAGCCUGGGAAACUGGGUCUAAUACCGGAUAUGACCACUGAAUGCAUGNCUUGUGGUGGAAAGAUUUAUCGGUGCGAGAUGGGCCCGCGGCCUAUCAGCUUGUUGGUGAGGUAACGGCUCACCAAGGCGACGACGGGUAGCCGACCUGAGAGGGUGACCGGCCACACUGGGACUGAGACACGGCCCAGACUCCUACGGGAGGCAGCAGUGGGGAAUAUUGCACAAUGGGCGAAAGCCUGAUGCAGCGACGCCGCGUGCGGGAUGACGGCCUUCGGGUUGUAAACCGCUUUUGACAGGGACGAAGCGCAAGUGACUGUACCUGUAGAAUAAGGACCGGCCAACUACGUGCCAGCAGCCGCGGUAAUACGUAGGGUCCGAGCGUUGUCCGGAAUUACUGGGCGUAAAGAGCUUGUAGGCGGUUCGUCGCGUCGUUUGUGAAAACUUGGGGCUCAACCUUAAGCUUGCANGCGAUACGGGCGGACUAGAGUACUUCANGGGAGACUGGAAUUCCUGGUGUAGCGGUGAAAUGCGCAGA
Molecule: ribosomal RNA, 614 nt
Filed under: Nocardia sp. 86_c_1
Lineage: Bacteria; Bacillati; Actinomycetota; Actinomycetes; Mycobacteriales; Nocardiaceae
Description: bacterial SSU rRNA
Rfam family: Bacterial small subunit ribosomal RNA
Source: RNAcentral